This 254-nucleotide ribosomal RNA is filed under the name uncultured bacterium. RNAcentral's name for it is "partial 16S ribosomal RNA". It matches the Rfam family "Bacterial small subunit ribosomal RNA", at positions 524 to 776 of the family's 1533-position model. The record is from RNAcentral.
UACGAAGGGGGCUAGCGUUGUUCGGAUUCAUUGGGCGUAAAGGGUGCGUAGGCGGCGCGGUAAGUCGGGUGUGAAAACUUUGGGCUCAACCCAAAGCCUGCACUCGAUACUGCUGUGACUUGAGUCCGGUAGGGGAGUGGGGAAUUCCUGGUGUAGCGGUGGAAUGCGCAGAUAUCAGGAGGAACACCGGUGGCGAAGGCGCCACUCUGGGCCGGUACUGACGCUGAGGAGCGAAAGCGUGGGGAGCGAACAGG